This 68-nucleotide transfer RNA is filed under the name Coryphistes ruricola. RNAcentral's name for it is "tRNA-Tyr". It matches the Rfam family "tRNA". Rfam says of the family: Transfer RNA (tRNA) molecules are approximately 80 nucleotides in length. The record is from RNAcentral. Lineage: Eukaryota; Metazoa; Arthropoda; Insecta; Orthoptera; Acrididae.
GGUAAGGUGGCUGAAAUUUAUAGGUGGUAGACUGUAAAUCUACUUAUGAGAAUUAUUCUCUCUUACCA